CGGGACGCCGGGCGGCGACUGAGUGAACUUUCCGGAGCCGGUCCGAGUGGACACGUCCUCCCGGGACAGGUCAAUGCAGAGCCUUCAGGUCGCUGCACCGGGGUGGGGUGGGUACGGCCCACCUUGGCCCCUCCCCAGCCCGCGCCGGCAGCUGAGUGGGGGUUGGGGUUCCAAACCCGCGCCCGGCGCACCCCGGGACCGCACGUGCGCCGGGGCGGCGACCGAGACCCCGGUUUAGAAUGUAGUGUUGGAGUGAAAACCACCCAAAGGACUGACCGAGGUGAUGUCAGCUGUGAAUAGACCUCCCCAUCCCACUGAACCGAGCCCAUUGUGGUAUCUCCAAGGAGCGGUAAAGAGCGGACAAAUAGGACUCCAGGCAGCCCGAGAGGGGUUGGUCGGUGUAGAAGAAUGGCUUCUGGACUCAAGGAGGCCCCCUAGCUCUGGUCCAGCAGAACGAAGACUGAGGCUUGCUGCUUGGAGACCAACUCCAGCCUGCCCGGGUUCUGGCUAUAGCCUCAGCUAGAACAUACAGACAUGGCCUGGGGGACAUUUUAGGGAACAUGGGCCUGGGGUAAAAGGAUUUGGGGAGCCCACAGUGCCUGCCUUUAAGUUGAUCCUAGGCUCAUGAAGUGUCCUUCAGAACUAUAGGGGCUUCCGGAAGAAAUGGAGGGAAUUGGCGAGACCCCAGGAAAAGCAGUGGACUUGAGCAAGUGAUAUAGGCCACUGCUGAGUGAGGGAGGGACCGUCUUCCCAAGUCUGUGUGAGUUCUCACUGCCAGGACUCUCAUCUCUAGGGCUGGCUGUUGGGGAACAGGAAUGUCUAGAUGUGAUGCUCGUGAGGGGAGCAGGUGGAGAAAUCUAAGUCAUGGCUGCUAUCGGGACCCCUGAAGCAUCAAAGUCUAAUGAGUCUGGUGGAAGGCAGGUUACGCCUUUACUAUGGGUCUGUUAUUAAAGAAAGCUGGUUCUGAACAGAAAAAUAUUCCUUCUUGCUGCUGACAUCUGCCAAACUUCUAGAGUUGUCGUUUUCAACUCUAACACACCCAACACACAUCUACGUAUAACAAAUGUUUUGUAACAUCCCCUGUACUAGCCUGAAAAAAAAUGCAUAGGCAACAUUGCCUACUAUAUACAUAGUUUCAGAUGUCCAAACUGUUCAAAUGUCAAAAAUGUCCAAAUAAAGCCAAGCAGUGAUAAAAAGGAGAAAUAAAGGGAGCGUGAGUAUAUGCGUGUAUCAGCUUGUAGGUGCUCAGGCACGACUGCGUUAAAGUCGUAAUGAGGGUCAGAUGCUUAUGUGAAUGUGGAACCGCUGUGAACAGCACUGCUACAAAUACAGUGUUCGGCGUGAAAAUACCUCUACGGGCUUUGCGCUUAUGUGAGCAGCUAUUGGAAAAGUUCUAAGCAAAACAAAGGUCCCCCUUCCAUGGAUCGACACGACAGCUGCUGCAUUCCUGGAAGGGUUACCCAUGAGAGUAGUGAAUCACUCAGGAUUCUGGUAGCACCUGGGAUCGGGGGGAACAGUGGAGGGGAGCAGUAACCCGUGAUUCAAAGUCUCCAAAAGAUGAGGAAUAGUGUGUAGACAACCCCCCAGGAGGUGUUUAGAAAAUGUGUGGGGGCAUUCUGGUUUGUCCUAAUUGCAUGUCUCAAUUGCAAGGGGCCAGGGAUCCUCAGUGUAUGAAAGAGUCACCUGAAGCCACUGUCCUCAAAAGGUAGCUUUGUGGGGGCCGGCCCGGUGGCUCAGGCGGUUAGAGCUCCGUGCUCCUAACUCCGAAGGCUGCCGGUUUGAUUCCCA
Rhinolophus ferrumequinum (greater horseshoe bat) is the source of this 1788-nucleotide long non-coding RNA. RefSeq lists it as uncharacterized. Lineage: Eukaryota; Metazoa; Chordata; Mammalia; Chiroptera; Rhinolophidae. The record is from RefSeq and is a predicted model, not a curated record. The transcript is spliced from 3 exons.